Molecule: ribosomal RNA, 316 nt
Filed under: uncultured bacterium
Lineage: Bacteria
Description: bacterial SSU rRNA
Rfam family: Bacterial small subunit ribosomal RNA
Source: RNAcentral
GAUGAACGCUGGCGGCGUGCCUAAUACAUGCAAGUCGAGCGAACGGAUAAGGAGCUUGCUCCUUUGAAGUUAGCAGCGGACGGGUGAGUAACACGUGGGUAACCUACCUAUAAGACUGGAAUAACUUCGGAGAACCGGAGCUAAUGCCGGAUAACAUUUGGAACCGCAUGGUUCUAAAGUAAAGAUGGUUCUGCUAUCACUUAUAGAUGGACCCGCGCCGUAUUAGCUAGUUGGUAAGGUAACGGCUUACCAAGGCAACGAUACGUAGCCGACCUGAGAGGGUGAUCGACCACACUGGAACUGAGACACGGUCCAG